UACGGGGGGGGCAAGCGUUGUUCGGAAUUACUGGGCGUAAAGGGCUCGUAGGCGGCCAACUAAGUCAGACGUGAAAUCCCUCGGCUUAACCGGGGAACUGCGUCUGAUACUGGAUGGCUUGAGUUUGGGAGAGGGAUGCGGAAUUCCAGGUGUAGCGGUGAAAUGCGUAGAUAUCUGGAGGAACACCCGUAGCGAAGGCGGCACUCUGGGCCGAUACUGACACUGAGGAGCGAAAGCGUGGGGAGCAAACAGG
This 253-nucleotide ribosomal RNA is filed under the name uncultured bacterium. Its description in RNAcentral is "partial 16S ribosomal RNA". It matches the Rfam family "Bacterial small subunit ribosomal RNA", at positions 524 to 776 of the family's 1533-position model. The record is from RNAcentral.